GGCUUGACUUUGCGUUUUUCUACCACCAGUCUCCUAACAGAGGUUUGUGCCCACUUUCCUUGCCUAAGGAGAAAAGCAGAACUGCUCCCUGGUUGUAGACAUUUCUGGAUAAUCAAACACAAGGUAAGGGAGGAGGGCUGGAGCAAUGACACCUCCAAGCUUCAGGAGACCACUGUGCACCUGAAAAAAUACAUAAACACAGAAAGUGGCAGGUGUGACUGUGAAAUACUGAGCCCAGCUAAGGCCACUGCUGGUUUCCACACAAGAGGAUUUAGCAAAAGAAGCUACUUCUCAACUCUUAAACACAACCAGAGCAGUACUAGGGAGUGGGGGAGAAGCAGUGGGCUGGUGGGACCAUCUCUGCACCCUCCCCACAGGAGGCAUCUGCAGAGCAGGCAGGGCUGGCUGCAGCCCCUUGGGUGCUCUGCUGCAUCACU
Corvus hawaiiensis (hawaiian crow) is the source of this 437-nucleotide long non-coding RNA. RefSeq lists it as uncharacterized. The record is from RefSeq and is a predicted model, not a curated record. NCBI's taxonomy places the organism in Eukaryota, Metazoa, Chordata, Aves, Passeriformes, Corvidae. The transcript is spliced from 3 exons.